GGCUGAAUCGAGUGUCGUAGCAGGAAUUCUUAAAGCCAGCAGUCCCAAGACUGGGUGGAGAGAGCGGCGGGACAGACAGAGAGCGCGCCUGAGUGGCAGCAGCAGGCCUUAAUGGCAGUGGACAGCAGGCAGGGGACCGGUGGCUCAAGCCGCAGCCCUGAUGCCAGAAAAGGACAUCCUCCUAGAUCGCCGCACUGUGCUUCC
Unclassified non-coding RNA from Microcebus murinus (gray mouse lemur), 204 nucleotides. NCBI's taxonomy places the organism in Eukaryota, Metazoa, Chordata, Mammalia, Primates, Cheirogaleidae. The record is from Ensembl.